Molecule: small RNA, 324 nt
Filed under: Histoplasma capsulatum var. duboisii H88
Lineage: Eukaryota; Fungi; Ascomycota; Eurotiomycetes; Onygenales; Ajellomycetaceae
Description: Histoplasma capsulatum H88 hypothetical RNA
Source: RNAcentral
AGCCAGUAGAAGAAAGGUAGAAUCCUCUCAGAAAGAUCCUCUUGUGAAAUGCUUCUCACAAAAAAUCAGCCAGUAGAAGAAAGGUAGAAUCCUCUCAGAAAGAUCCUCUUGUGAAAUGCUCCUCACAAAAAAUCAGCCAGUAGAAGAAAGGUCCUCUCAGGAAAAUCCUCUUGUGAAAUGCAUCUCACAAAAAAUCAGCCAGUAGAAGAAAGGUAGAAUCCUCUCAGGAAAAUCCUCUUGUGAAAUGCUCCUCACAAAAAAUCAGCCAGGUAGAAUCCUCUCAGAAAAAUCCUCUUGUGAAAUGCUCCUCGCAAAAAAUCAGCC